AUGAGCAACGUGUAGUUGAGUUGGUGUGUGUUUGUUUUUAAUCAAUGUCGUUUAAACGGCUGUAGUUGAUUUAAUUAAAACUCAACAAUAACAACGACACCGCCAGCACUUAUAAACAAUACAGCACAGUUAUAUAAUGAUUAUAAUAGUGUAUUACAUCAAACUACACGGGUCUAUCAAUAUUCAUGGAUAUUCAAAACGUUUCCGUCAUGUGAGUGUGUGACAACACCUUUUAUAAUAAUACAUUAAACACGAUUCUCGAGACAUUACAACGUAAUACAUAGUUUUAUAAUAUUGUGUAGCUGUGUAGUGUAUGCUAUUAUAGCAACAAUAAUGCGACGAGAAGUCGAGAACAUUUUUCUUUAUUAAAUCACCGAAUUCGACUGCAUUACGCCGUACUAUCACGCGCCAAGGGCAUUAUUAUAAUAAUCCUUUGAAAGCAUUAAUUAUACGAUUUUUAUGAUGCUUUAAUUUUGGUAAGACGUUUUUAUCGGUUUUCAAAUUUUGAUAAUCGUAACGUUCAAUUAUACUGUUUAUUACUUUCUAUACGAUAUUAUACACGCGGAAGGUUACCGUACGGCGUAUAAUAUAUAAUGUUAUCAAAUGUUCGAUUUAGAUAUUAUAUUGGUUCAAUUUAGAAGUUUAUUGCGCACAAUAUAAUAUUAUAAUACACAACACGUGCAAUACGACCCAUUGGACGUUACUUAAUUGACGACUGUAAUAUGUAUAUAAAUGUACACAACAAUUAAACACGAUUAUAAACGUGAAAUCAUCGGCAUGUGCGGUGUAUCGGUGAAUUGUAUAGAUCUUCGACGCGCGACGGUCGUAAUUAUUUAUUAUGCUACGUUAAAAUUAAUGAUUACACUAUGAUGUAUAAUGACGAUGUGAAGACGAGAAAGCGGGAUAAGGAUAUAGGUAAAUGGUUGUUAGCACAAUAUCGUUUUUCUCAAAGUGAAAUAUUAAUAUGAUAGUAUUGUUUAAUCACCGCCAAUAACGUAUACUCCUCAAAGACUUCUCACUCGGACGUUUUUUUCGCUCGAUUAUUUGUCAAAACUGCAAAAUGUUGGCAUUGUAGUUGAAUAUCGUCGAUGUUCGUAGUGUAAAUUCACAUGGUGCCGCAGUCGUGAAGUUAUUAUUCAUUAAUUGAACGCGAGGGUCUCGGACAAUAGUCUUACAUAAUAUGACAUUCAAUAUCGUAUAUAUACGUAACGUCAGCCACGUAUAAUUAAUUAUUGUUGUAACGACGCAGAUACUUCGGAAAGAAUAAUAAUAAUAUAAUAACAUCCUAUUGUAACAAACGACGACGGUUGCGAAGACGUCGGCAUACCAGCCUUGUUAUUAUAUCGAAAUCCCCAUAAUCGAUGCCGAAAAUCCGAUUGAAAACAAAAACGUACCUAUAUAUCCUGUCGUCGACUGCACUUUCGCGGUGCGUAGUUCGCCUGCGCGACCGAUGACCGAUAAAAGCGACCCUCUCCCGCGAGAGCAGGAUGCAACGGACCGGACCUUAAUGAUAAACGGGUCCGAAAACGAGUGCGACCGGUUCGCGGAUCGGUCACGGAAAACGGAUUUAUUAAAAUCGAAGCGCAUACCUUUGUGUCGUAUACACAUUAUUAUUAAAAUGUUUAACGCGCACUAUACACCGGAGUAUAUUAUAUAAGUUUAUUAUUAUAUAUAUUGUAUAAUUUAUCGGAAGCGGUUAUCCCGGCCGGGAAUACUGGUUGUCGCAGCCUGCGCAGGACCCUGGGAAACGCUGCCAUUGCGACGGGGAGAGAGAUAGAGAGAGUAAAGAUGUAAUAAUAAUAAUAAUAAUAAGUUUUAUUAUUACGCGGUAUAGGUAUAUUACUAUAUUAUAAUAUCGCGGUGGCCGUCAUUUGAAUAAAAUCCAAUCGAUACAAUAUGCGAAAAUAUCCGCCGGACGACCCGGAGGAGCUGCAGUAGCACAAAGCGACAACAAAACGGAUUUACCCUCGGGCCACUGCAGUGUUCCGCGGCAGACGUUGUUGCACUUCGGCUGUAGCAAAAAUCUUGUGUUGCAAUUGAGGCCGUGCGGCGAGGAAGCCUACAAACUAUCGGUCCCGAGGAUGAGCGCCCGUUAAAAGGAUUCGUCGUGAAAGGCACAUACGUCACCGUCUCGUAUACUCAAAUAUGGGAACACGUUUCAAAAUGUCCGGUAAAAGUGGACAACACGACUUGGAGUAAACCACUAAUACGCAUUGGCGAGACUUAGGCGUGAGGUCCUAUCACUGUUCUACGGCACUCGACGGCGACGUGCGCGGAAUUUUUACAUGCAUCAUAAUAAUACUUACGUCCUUUGGCACCAUCACUCGAGAAGAGAACUGAAAAAUAAUAAUAAAAGAAAAAAAAACCGAAAAUCGUGCUCGGUUAAAAUAUAAAGCAAAAGACGCGUGCACCGUGAAGCGUGUAUAGGUUUUGCUGCAAUCGUAAUCGCAUUAACACGAAUCUAUAUUAUAUACUAUGUACAUAACUUAAUACAUAGCAAUAUUACGAUACACGUUAUUAUCAAAAAC
Molecule: long non-coding RNA, 2528 nt
Organism: Aphis gossypii (cotton aphid)
Lineage: Eukaryota; Metazoa; Arthropoda; Insecta; Hemiptera; Aphididae
Exons: 3
Source: RefSeq, a predicted model, not a curated record